UAUGUACUCCCUCUGUCCGAAAUUACUUGUCGAAGAAAUAGAUGUUUCUAGACGUAUUUUAGUCCUAGAUACAUCCAUUUCUGCGACAAGUAAUUCCGGACGAAGGGAGUGUUCA
This is a non-coding RNA of Triticum aestivum (bread wheat), 115 nucleotides long. The record is from Rfam. Lineage: Eukaryota; Viridiplantae; Streptophyta; Magnoliopsida; Poales; Poaceae.